AAUAUUGGACAAUGGGGGCAACCCUGAUCCAGCCAUGCCGCGUGUGUGAAGAAGGUCUUCGGAUUGUAAAGCACUUUAAGUUCGGAGGAAAGGCUUUCGGUUAAUAGCCUGAAGAUUUGACGUUACCAACAGAAUAAGCACAGGCUAAUUCUGUCCCAGCAGCCGCGGUAAUACAGAGGGUGCAAGCGUUAAUCGGAAUUACUGGGUGUAAAGGGUGCGUAGGUGGUUUAAUAAGAUGGGUGUGAAAUUCCCGGGCUUAACCAGGGAACUGCUUUCAUAACUGCUGAGCUAGAGUACGGUAGAAGGUAGUGGAAUUUCCUGUGUAGCGGCGAAAUGCGUAGAUAUAGGAAGGAACACCAGUGGCGAAGGCGACUACCUGGACUGAGACUGACACUGAGGUGCGAAAGCGUGGGGAGCAAACA
Molecule: ribosomal RNA, 422 nt
Filed under: uncultured bacterium
Lineage: Bacteria
Description: partial 16S ribosomal RNA
Rfam family: Bacterial small subunit ribosomal RNA
Source: RNAcentral